GAUCCUGGCUCAGGAUGAACGCUAGCUACAGGCUUAACACAUGCAAGUCGAGGGGAAACGACAUCGAAAGCUUGCUUUUGAUGGGCGUCGACCGGCGCACGGGUGAGUAACGCGUAUCCAACCUGCCCAUCACUUGGGGAUAACCUUGCGAAAGUAAGACUAAUACCCAAUGAUAUCUCUAGAAGACAUCUGAAGGAGAUUAAAGAUUUAUCGGUGAUGGAUGGGGAUGCGU
RNAcentral lists this ribosomal RNA (232 nucleotides) under uncultured bacterium. RNAcentral's name for it is "partial 16S ribosomal RNA". It matches the Rfam family "Bacterial small subunit ribosomal RNA", at positions 15 to 236 of the family's 1533-position model. The record is from RNAcentral.